Molecule: ribosomal RNA, 498 nt
Filed under: uncultured bacterium
Lineage: Bacteria
Description: partial 16S ribosomal RNA
Rfam family: Bacterial small subunit ribosomal RNA
Source: RNAcentral
AUUGAACGCUGGCGGCAUGCUUUACACAUGCAAGUCGAACGGCAACAGGCCGCAAGGUGCUGACGAGUGGCGAACGGGUGAGUAAUGCAUCGGAACGUGCCCAGUCGUGGGGGAUAACUAUCCGAAAGGAUAGCUAAUACCGCAUACGAUCUGCGGAUGAAAGCGGGGGACCUUCGGGCCUCGCGCGAUUGGAGCGGCCGAUGUCAGAUUAGGUAGUUGGUGGGGUAAAGGCUCACCAAGCCAACGAUCUGUAGCUGGUCUGAGAGGACGACCAGCCACACUGGGACUGAGACACGGCCCAGACUCCUACGGGAGGCGGCAGUGGGGAAUUUUGGACAAUGGGCGCAAGCCUGAUCCAGCAAUGCCGCGUGCAGGAAGAAGGCCUUCGGGUUGUAAACUGCUUUUGUACGGAACGAAACGGCUCUGGUUAAUACCUGGGGCUAAUGACGGUACCGUAAGAAUAAGCACCGGCUAACUACGUGCCAGCCGCCGCGGUAA